GAUGAACGCUGGCGGCGUGCUUAACACAUGCAAGUCGAACGGAGUGCUCAUGACGGAGUUUUCGGACAACGGAUUGGGUUACUUAGUGGCGGACGGGUGAGUAACGCGUGAGGAACCUGCCUCGGAGUGGGGAAUAACACACCGAAAGGUGUGCUAAUACCGCAUAAUGCAGUUGGGUCGCAUGACUCUGACUGCCAAAGAUUUAUCGCUCUGAGAUGGCCUCGCGUCUGAUUAGCUAGUUGGCGGGGUAACGGCCCACCAAGGCGACGAUCAGUAGCCGGACUGAGAGGUUGACCGGCCACAUUGGGACUGAGACACGGCCCAG
RNAcentral lists this ribosomal RNA (325 nucleotides) under uncultured bacterium. RNAcentral describes it as "bacterial SSU rRNA". It matches the Rfam family "Bacterial small subunit ribosomal RNA", at positions 28 to 334 of the family's 1533-position model. The record is from RNAcentral.